RNAcentral lists this small RNA (28 nucleotides) under Bombyx mori (domestic silkworm). Its description in RNAcentral is "ovarian small RNA-10607". The record is from RNAcentral. Lineage: Eukaryota; Metazoa; Arthropoda; Insecta; Lepidoptera; Bombycidae.
AAGCUGACAUCUGUAGCACUGCCCGUGA